UACGUAGGGUGCAAGCGUUGUCCGGAAUUAUUGGGCGUAAAGAGCUCGUAGGCGGCUUGUUGCGUCGGUUGUGAAAGCCCGGGGCUUAACCCCGGGUCUGCAGUCGAUACGGGCAGGCUAGAGUGUGGUAGGGGAGAUUGGAAUUCCUGGUGUAGCGGUGGAAUGCGCAGAUAUCAGGAGGAACACCGAUGGCGAAGGCAGAUCUCUGGGCCGUAACUGACGCUGAGGAGCGAAAGCGUGGGGAGCGAACAGG
This 253-nucleotide ribosomal RNA is filed under the name uncultured bacterium. RNAcentral describes it as "partial 16S ribosomal RNA". It matches the Rfam family "Bacterial small subunit ribosomal RNA", at positions 524 to 776 of the family's 1533-position model. The record is from RNAcentral.